AGUGAACGCUGGCGGUAGGCCUAACACAUGCAAGUCGAACGGCAGCACAGUAAGAGCUUGCUCUUACGGGUGGCGAGUGGCGGAUGGGUGAGGAAUACAUCGGAAUCUAUUUUUUCGUGGGGGAUAACGUCGGGAAACUUACGCUAAUAUCGCAUAUGACCUACGGGUGAAAGCAGGGGUUCUUCGGACCUUUCGCGAUCGAAUGAGCCGAUGUCGGAUUAGUUAGUUGGCGGGAUAAAGGCCCACCAAGGCGACGAUCCGUAGCUGGUCUGUCUGGAUGAUCAGCCACACUGGAACUGGGACACGGUCCAGACUCCUACAGGAGGCAGCAGUGGGGAAUAUUGGAGAAUGGGCGCGAGCCUGAUCCAGCCAUACCGCGUGGGUGAAGAAGGCCUUCGGGUUGUAAAGCCCUUUUGUUGGGGAAGAAAAGCAGCAGGUUAAUACCCCGCUGUUCUGACGGUACCCAAAGAAUGAGCACCGGCUAACUUCGUG
Molecule: ribosomal RNA, 492 nt
Filed under: uncultured bacterium
Lineage: Bacteria
Description: partial 16S ribosomal RNA
Rfam family: Bacterial small subunit ribosomal RNA
Source: RNAcentral